Molecule: unclassified non-coding RNA, 225 nt
Filed under: plant metagenome
Description: partial contains small subunit ribosomal RNA, internal transcribed spacer 1, and 5.8S ribosomal RNA
Source: RNAcentral
UCUCCGUUGGUGAACCAGCGGAGGGAUCAUUACAGGACUCGCAAGACUCCUACAACCCUGUGAACUUAACUAUAAGCACGUUGCUUCGGCGGGUGUCUCGGAGGGGGUUCUCCCUCCCCGAGACGCUAAACCCGCCGGCAGCCUACUAUACUCUGUCUCUUUGCGUUGGCAUCUCGAGUACAAUCAAACAAGUUAAAACUUUCAACAACGGAUCUCUUGGUCCUG